CGGCAAGGGGGGCCGGGGGGCGGAGACACUCCGCGUACAAAGCCGCCGAUGGGUGUCAGAUUUGCCUUCGGUGACCUUACGAUCUCUCCGCGUAAAACGCUAUUUUACAUCAAAGCGGUCCUUUACUUGAAGGUUUGGUAUAUGUCAAAUAGUCGACCAGCCUGGCAAGAGCACUUUGACAACUGGAAGCUUUCAGCGCAUGCUCUCCCAAGGAAUCAUGGGGUUUGAAGUCUUACCGAUGGACAGCAUUUCACUGCUGCUUCCGAAAGGAAGAGAGCUCGAAAGGGAAAAGAAAUAUGUGCACACUCCCUCUUCCCAGGGAAAACUGCUGCAAUCUGAAUCAUCAGCUCUGAGGGAAUAUCUGUCAGACUGAGCUGGAAGUGACUAACUAAAUAGGAGCUUUUAAAUAGUUUGAUUUAGAAGCCCAGAUGAAAUAGCCAUCUAUUUAGAACAACUGCUAGACAAAGAAAUAGUUCCAGUAUUUCCACAGUUCCCUUACAAAGUCCUAGCAUAAGAAAUUAAUUAUAAGCUCAUACCAGCUAUAAAGUUUACAGCUAUUACAAAGGAAAUCGUGCCACGUUGCUUAGCUGAAGAAUAUAUUAAAUAAUCAUGUGUCAUAACAUAAUUUCUAAAUAUAUUCUGAAGCUCAAACACAAAUAGGUCAAGUAUGAAAAUUUAAAAAGAAAUCAAAAUCAGUACAUAGGUGAAAAGUUGUACUAUUUGAAUAGUUUCCAAUUUUCAAGUUACAACUUUUUUUUUAUUACCAAGUUGUUACUACACUGAAAAUUCCACCAAAAAAAAAAAAA
Passer montanus (Eurasian tree sparrow) is the source of this 806-nucleotide long non-coding RNA. RefSeq lists it as uncharacterized. NCBI's taxonomy places the organism in Eukaryota, Metazoa, Chordata, Aves, Passeriformes, Passeridae. The transcript has 2 exons. The record is from RefSeq and is a predicted model, not a curated record.